GUAAACUCGGUGACGGGUGCGGCGGUAAUACGGUGGAUGGAAGCGUUAUCCGGAUUCAUUGGGGUUAAAGGGUGCGUAGGCGGAAGACUAAGUCAGGAGUGAAAUCCUGCAGCGUAACUGUAGAACGGUUAGUGAGACUGGUAUUCUUGAAUGCAGUUGAGGUAGGCGGAAUGUGUAAUGUAGCUGUGAAAUGCUUAGAUAUUACACAGAACACCGAUUGCGAAGGCAGCUUACUAAACUGUGAUUGACGCUGAGGCACGAAAGCGUGGGGAGCAAACAGGAUUAGAUACCCGUGUAGUC
RNAcentral lists this ribosomal RNA (300 nucleotides) under uncultured Helicobacter sp. Its description in RNAcentral is "bacterial SSU rRNA". It matches the Rfam family "Bacterial small subunit ribosomal RNA", at positions 496 to 795 of the family's 1533-position model. The record is from RNAcentral. Lineage: Bacteria; Pseudomonadati; Campylobacterota; Epsilonproteobacteria; Campylobacterales; Helicobacteraceae.